CCAGAGCUCCGAGAAAAGCCACAAAGAACAUCUGUGGGACCCCAGAUAUCUCUUCUGCCAGCUCAAGACCUGCUUGAGUUUAAAUAAGCACGGGGACCAAUCAUGUAUCACCCUGCCAUUCUUUACCCGCUCCUUCUCAAAAACCCUAUAUAUACUCUUGUGGUUUGGGGCCAAUCCCUCUGCCUCCUGCGUGAGGGUGAGGUACAUAUUGGUCCAGAGCUCUGCCCCAAUACAGCUUGUUGCCUUUGCAUCGGACCCAGUCUCUUGUUCUUGGGCGCCACUCCCUCCUGCUGUGCCUUCCAGCUCUGGGCAGCCUCGCUCUCCCAAACUGGGCAUGCCAGGGCUCCAAUAGCACAAGCCACCGCACUCUCCCGAACUGAGCGGGGUGGAGGAAUUCAGACUUAACAACCCCCUUAAGACUGACGCUAGAGGGGUUGAGGAUUUAGCUCAGCGGUAGAGCACUUGCCUAGAAAGCGCAAGGCCCUAGGUUCGGUCCUCAGCUCC
This 504-nucleotide long non-coding RNA is filed under the name Rattus norvegicus (Norway rat). RNAcentral's name for it is "long non-coding RNA NONRATT017568". The record is from RNAcentral. Lineage: Eukaryota; Metazoa; Chordata; Mammalia; Rodentia; Muridae.